This 253-nucleotide ribosomal RNA is filed under the name uncultured bacterium. Its description in RNAcentral is "partial 16S ribosomal RNA". It matches the Rfam family "Bacterial small subunit ribosomal RNA", at positions 524 to 776 of the family's 1533-position model. The record is from RNAcentral.
UACGAGGGGGGCAAGCGUUGUUCGGAAUUAUUGGGCGUAAAGGGCGCGUAGGCGGUUUGACAAGUCUGAUGUGAAAUCUAUGGGCUCAACCCAUAGCCUGCAUUAGAAACUGUCGGGCUUGAGUAUGGGAGAGGUGAGUGGAAUUUCCGGUGUAGCGGUGAAAUGCGUAGAUAUCGGGAGGAACACCUGUGGCGAAAGCGGCGCACUGGACCACAACUGACGCUGAGGCGCGAAAGCUAGGGGAGCAAACAGG